CCGGCGGGGGCGACCCCAGGGAAAGUGCCACAGAAAGGACACCGCCGCCUUUCCCCGGUAUGCGGGUGGGCGGCAAGGGUGAAACGGUGCGGUAAGAGCGCACCGCGCCGCCGGCAACGGCGGCGGCAGGGAAAACCCCACCGGGAGAAAGACCAAGUAGGAGCGGCAGGCGUCCCGGAGCGAUCCGGGAUCGCCGGGCGAGCCUCCGCGCCGCCGCUCGGGUCGGUCGCAGGAGGCGCUCGGUGACGAGCGUCCCAGAGGAAUGGCCAUCGCCGUCCCUCGGGAGUCCUCGAUGGGCGGAACAGAACCCGGCUUACACGCCGUCUGGCCCC
This 332-nucleotide RNase P RNA is filed under the name Alphaproteobacteria bacterium. RNAcentral's name for it is "partial RNase P RNA component class A". It matches the Rfam family "Bacterial RNase P class A", at positions 85 to 367 of the family's 367-position model. Rfam says of the family: Ribonuclease P (RNase P) is a ubiquitous endoribonuclease, found in archaea, bacteria and eukarya as well as chloroplasts and mitochondria. Lineage: Bacteria; Pseudomonadati; Pseudomonadota; Alphaproteobacteria. The record is from RNAcentral.